CUUAAUAGCGUGGAGGUUCGAGUCCUCUUCAAGGCAUAAAAUUUAUCAUGCUUAUUGAAUGAGCAAUCCAAUGGCAAAUCU
Molecule: transfer RNA, 81 nt
Filed under: Larix gmelinii var. japonica
Lineage: Eukaryota; Viridiplantae; Streptophyta; Pinopsida; Pinales; Pinaceae
Description: tRNA-Leu
Source: RNAcentral